AUUCCAAUCGAACCUGGAGAUAGCUGGUUCUCCCCGAAAUAGCUUUAGGGCUAGCCUUAAGUGUAAGAGUCUUGGAGGUAGAGCACUGAUUGGACUAGGGGUCCUCAUCGGAUUACCGAAUUCAGUCAAACUCCGAAUGCCAAUGACUUAUCCUUAGGAGUCAGACUGCGAGUGAUAAGAUCCGUAGUCAAAAGGGAAACAGCCCAGACCGCCAGCUAAGGUCCCAAAGUGUGUAUUAAGUGGAAAAGGAUGUGGAGUUGCUUAGACAACUAGGAUGUUGGCUUAGAAGCAGCCACCAUUUAAAGAGUGCGUAAUAGCUCACUAGUCGAGUGACUCUGCGCCGAAAAUGUACCGGGGCUAAAUACACCACCGAAGCUGCGGAUUGAUACCAAUGGUAUCAGUGGUAGGGGAGCGUUCUAAGGACAGUGAAGUCAGACCGGAAGGACUGGUGGAGUGCUUAGAAGUGAGAAUGCCGGUAUGAGUAGCGAAAGACGGGUGAGAAUCCCGUCCACCGAAUGCCUAAGGUUUCCUGAGGAAGGCUCGUCCGCUCAGGGUUAGUCAGGACCUAAGCCGAGGCCGACAGGCGUAGGCGAUGGACAACAGGUUGAUAUUCCUGUACCACCUCUUUAUCGUUUGAGCAAUGGAGGGACGCAGAAGGAUAGAAGAAGCGUGCGAUUGGUUGUGCACGUCCAAGCAGUUAGGCUGAUAAGUAGGCAAAUCCGCUUAUCGUGAAGGCUGAGCUGUGAUGGGGAAGCUCCUUAUGGAGCGAAGUCUUUGAUUCCCCGCUGCCAAGAAAAGCUUCUAGCGAGAUAAAAGGUGCCUGUACCGCAAACCGACACAGGUAGGCGAGGAGAGAAUCCUAAGGUGUGCGAGAGAACUCUGGUUAAGGAACUCGGCAAAAUGACCCCGUAACUUCGGGAGAAGGGGUGCUUUCUUAACGGAAAGCCGCAGUGAAUAGGCCCAAGCGACUGUUUAGCAAAAACACAGCUCUCUGCGAAGCCGUAAGGCGAAGUAUAGGGGGUGACACCUGCCCGG
Molecule: ribosomal RNA, 1035 nt
Filed under: Bacillus anthracis (anthrax bacterium)
Lineage: Bacteria; Bacillati; Bacillota; Bacilli; Caryophanales; Bacillaceae
Description: bacterial LSU rRNA
Rfam family: Bacterial large subunit ribosomal RNA
Source: RNAcentral